Molecule: ribosomal RNA, 421 nt
Filed under: uncultured Methanospirillum sp.
Lineage: Archaea; Methanobacteriati; Methanobacteriota; Methanomicrobia; Methanomicrobiales; Methanospirillaceae
Description: bacterial SSU rRNA
Rfam family: Archaeal small subunit ribosomal RNA
Source: RNAcentral
CCUAUGGGAGGCAGCAGGCGCGAAAACUUUACCAUGCGGGCAACCGUGAUAAGGAAACCCCGAGUGCCACCAUAGGGUGGCUGUCCGCCAGUGUAAAUAACUGGUGAAGAAAGGGCCGGGCAAGACCGGUGCCAGCCGCCGCGGUAAUACCGGCGGCUCGAGUGGUGGCCGCUAUUACUGGGCUUAAAGGGUCCGUAGCUGGAUGUACAAGUCCCUUGAGAAAUCCGCCGGCUUAACUGGCGGGCGUUCAGGGGAAACUGUAUUUCUAGGGACCGGGAGAGGUGAGAGGUACUGCCGGGGUAGGAGUGAAAUCCUGUAAUCCCGGUGGGACCACCUAUGGCGAAGGCAUCUCACCAGAACGGGUCCGACAGUGAGGGACGAAAGCUGGGGGAGCAAACCGGAUUAGAUACCCUGGUAGUCC